AUGCUUUGGUGCCUUCGGGAACUCUGAGACAGGUGCUGCAUGGCUGUCGUCAGCUCGUGUUGUGAAAUGUUGGGUUAAGUCCCGCAACGAGCGCAACCCUUAUCCUUUGUUGCCAGCGGUCCGGCCGGGAACUCAAAGGAGACUGCCAGUGAUAAACUGGAGGAAGGUGGGGAUGACGUCAAGUCAUCAUGGCCCUUACGAGUAGGGCUACACACGUGCUACAAUGGCGCAUACAAAGAGAAGCGACCUCGCGAGAGCAAGCGGACCUCAUAAAGUGCGUCGUAGUCCGGAUUGGAGUCUGCAACUCGACUCCAUGAAGUCGGAAUCGCUAGUAAUCGUGGAUCAGAAUGCCACGGUG
This 358-nucleotide ribosomal RNA is filed under the name Enterobacter sp. 179S. RNAcentral describes it as "bacterial SSU rRNA". It matches the Rfam family "Bacterial small subunit ribosomal RNA", at positions 1006 to 1364 of the family's 1533-position model. Lineage: Bacteria; Pseudomonadati; Pseudomonadota; Gammaproteobacteria; Enterobacterales; Enterobacteriaceae. The record is from RNAcentral.